This 440-nucleotide ribosomal RNA is filed under the name uncultured bacterium. RNAcentral describes it as "partial 16S ribosomal RNA". It matches the Rfam family "Bacterial small subunit ribosomal RNA", at positions 338 to 795 of the family's 1533-position model. The record is from RNAcentral.
CCUACGGGCGGCAGCAGUGGGGAAUAUUGCACAAUGGGGGAAACCCUGAUGCAGCGACGCCGCGUGAGUGAAGAAGUAUCUCGGUACGUAAAGCUCUAUCAGCAGGGAAGAUAAUGACGGUACCUGACCAAGAAGCCCCGGCUAACUACGUGCCAGCAGCCGCGGUAAUACGUAGGGUGCGAGCGUUAAUCGGAAUUACUGGGCGUAAAGCGCUCGUAGGCGGUAUGUCAAGUCAAGGGUGAAAUCCCCGCGCUCAACGUGGGAACUGCCUUUGAAACUGGCAAACUGGAGUGUGUGAGAGGAUAGUGGAAUUCCAGGUGUAGGAGUGAAAUCCGUAGAUAUCUGGAGGAACAUCAGUGGCGAAGGCGACUAUCUGGCACAUAACUGACGCUGAGGAGCGAAAGCGUGGGUAGCAAACAGGAUUAGAUACCCUUGUAGUC